This 229-nucleotide long non-coding RNA is filed under the name Pelobates cultripes (western spadefoot toad). Lineage: Eukaryota; Metazoa; Chordata; Amphibia; Anura; Pelobatidae. The record is from RNAcentral.
GGGAGAGGAACCAGUUAUCACCUCUCCCCAGCAACAGGACAAAUUAUUGAAAGGGGAGACAGUCGGUCUCCCCCUUCAACAGCAGAGAGAGUGUCAGGGAGAGGAGCUUGUUAUCCCCUCUCCCCAGCGGCUGAAAGUAUGUAUGGGAGAGGAGCUUGUUACCCCCUCUCCCCAGUGGCAGCUUAGCCCACCAAGGGGAGACAGUAAUCUCCACAACAGUACAGAUGGG